Molecule: transfer-messenger RNA, 353 nt
Filed under: Lichenifustis flavocetrariae
Lineage: Bacteria; Pseudomonadati; Pseudomonadota; Alphaproteobacteria; Hyphomicrobiales; Lichenihabitantaceae
Description: Alphaproteobacteria transfer-messenger RNA
Rfam family: Alphaproteobacteria transfer-messenger RNA
About the family: Bacterial tmRNA, also known as 10Sa RNA or SsrA, is named for its dual tRNA and mRNA-like properties. Its role is to liberate the mRNA from a stalled ribosome.
Source: Rfam by way of RNAcentral
AGCCUUGCGCUGCCGCCCCAUCCGACUUAUCUUGAUUGUGACGCUUCGGCGUAUAUGGCGAUAAACGGCAUCUGGAAUAAACUCUGCGGACCCCGGGGCAGCACCGGGCGGGUCCACCUGAGCGCUUUAGGACGAGCGUUUUGGCGGGCCCGAAACAGGAUCGACGCGGGUGUAAAGAGAUGGCUUUUGCCCGGCAUUGUACCACCGUUAUCGGGCUAAACUUAUAGUUGCCAAUGACAACUAUGCUCCGGUGGCCCUCGCUGCGUAACGCAGUGCUGGUACUGGGAAUCAAGUCCUAGGGGGUUGCACUUCUAGGCGGGGUUCGGAGGCACCUGGCAACAGAAGCCUCCACU